GCUGGGAUAGCUCAGUUGGUAGAGCAUCUCCAUGGUAAGGAGAAGGUCGUGGGUUCAACUCCCAUUCCCAGCU
RNAcentral lists this transfer RNA (73 nucleotides) under Elusimicrobiota bacterium. Its description in RNAcentral is "Elusimicrobia bacterium tRNA-Thr". It matches the Rfam family "tRNA". From Rfam's summary of the family: Transfer RNA (tRNA) molecules are approximately 80 nucleotides in length. Their secondary structure includes four short double-helical elements and three loops (D, anti-codon, and T loops). Further hydrogen bonds mediate the characteristic L-shaped molecular structure. tRNAs have two regions of fundamental functional importance: the anti-codon, which is responsible for specific mRNA codon recognition, and the 3' end, to which the tRNAs corresponding amino acid is attached (by aminoacyl-tRNA synthetases). tRNAs cope with the degeneracy of the genetic code in two manners: having more than one tRNA (with a specific anti-codon) for a particular amino acid; and 'wobble' base-pairing, i.e. permitting non-standard base-pairing at the 3rd anti-codon position. Lineage: Bacteria; Pseudomonadati; Elusimicrobiota. RNAcentral also lists the same sequence under 1 other name. The record is from RNAcentral.